CAUUCAUUCACAUUUUAAAAUAUUUUCAUUUUACCUGGAUUUUCUAAUACAUUGCUUGGAAAAUCAGGAAAUUCUUAGAGAAUUUUUUUCGACAAACACCUUGUGGGUGUACCUCGGGAGGAAAAUUUUUAAAAUUUUGAAAUUUUAACAUGAAUACGACCCAUGAGGGCGACCUAUUUAAAAUAUUUUAAACUGUGGCAAAAUGGAUCGCAUAAAUUUAUCGAAGAAAAGACGUAAAAGGUUAUGUAUUGCUUAAAUUAAGACUAGUCUAUGUUCUUUGAUCCUCAAGGAUGGUUGAUAGUAUUUCAUAUGUUUGCGUUCGGAAACUAUCUGCAUUCGAAGUGAAAUCUGCCUUUACCGCUAUUCAUUCUACUCUACUAUAUCCUCAGGAUGGUAUUUCCGAACGCAAUUUAGAUGUUGUGUGUUAUGUUCAUUGUGUCGAAAAAAUAACUAUAUAUGAAUUGCAAUAUUUACAUGAAAUAUAUAUGAAUUUUGAUAUGAAAUUGUGACGGCUUAAUGACAUUCGGUUUUACAGGUUAUUCGGUUUGAAUCGGCCAAAAAGAAACGAAAGACUUGGGGAUACUUUGUUUCUUUUUCAUGUAUUUGUUUGUAUGUAUUUGUACCAUGUUUUUAUGCAACAAUAUUUUAUUAAGAAAAUGUUUUAUUGUCAUUUAUAAAUUGUACUUAAUACUGCUUCUUGUUUCUCAAAUUUGUCGGCUUCAUUUAUUUCUUGUCUUUAUUUAAUCUUUAUUUAUUUUUUAUUUAUUCUGAUGCGGAUUAAGCGGAUUGUACGAAUAUGGAAUUACCAAGUACAGUCGCGUUAUUUUAUUCGGUGCAUUUGGAAUUUUGCUGAAAUCGAUGCGUACUUAUGGACAAACGCGCGAACAGUCGUUACAAUCGUCCAUUAUCUCGUCGUGUUCCGUGUGAGAAAAAAUAUCCACACAUUAUAUCCAUACAUACAGUUUACAUCUACGAUAACAUCUACGAUAUAUUUUCUAGGAAAGCGAUAUGUACUUAUGUGUCCAUCGCAGCGCAUACGUGCAUAUGUAUACACAUAAAUUAAUGUGUAGCAUAUAUUUAUAACAUAUUUCGAUGAAAAGAGAAUCUAUGUGGGAAAUAUCGUUGAAGAAUUCGGAGAAUCGAGGUGUUCUCUCGUAGGCCUAAUUAUGUUUGUGUGAGUGCUAUUUGCCCCAAUACAAUAGACUGUAUUAUCUUACACCUCUCACCUCUUUGCACCCUCCGCCACUUACUGUCCGCCGACGAAUAUAGACCGGUUUCGCGUGUUCGGCACGUGUGAUCACUCGUGUCAGGAGAUUAACCUCGGAGAGCGCGCGAUUAUGUCCCGCCGUCAUUGCAGGUGUAACGUUCUCGCAACGUUAGAAAAUCACCGAGUCGGCAAAUUGUGUUCCCCUCUAUGUCGGCUAUUUCUCGCGCGAGAAAAGAAAUCGCCGGUGGGUGCGACUAAUCGGCAGGAUUUCGGAUUUUUCAGGGGGGAAGUACCCGACGAGCGCGCUACAUAGGUACGGCAUGAGCCGGUCGGUCCGUAAGAUCCAGCCGCAGCGACCUCCCUCGCAGCAGGUGCACAUUUGCCCGAAGUGCGGCAGAUCCUUCAAUUGGCGUUACAAUCUUCAGCAUCACCUCAAGUACGCGUGCGGUCAGUCGCCGCGUUUCAACUGCCCGUACUGUCCCUUCCGGACGAAGCACACGUCGAACGUGCGGGCCCACGUGCGCAGGAAGCAUCCGGACCGCGAGGUCUACGUCGUCGACAUCCUCAGCUGGCAGCAUCGGGCGGAACCGACGCUCGCGUGAGAACCUCGCCUCGGCUACCGUCGCCGGAGCGUCCACGACGACGAUGACGAUCGCAACCUGCCCUUGCUAAGUUCACGGUGUCGCAUACGCGUCGUCGCGGUUCAAGCAACGAGGAUAUAGCUGGCAAUACGCAAACAGGGCUACCGCCUUCGCGUCGUCGGGCCAGCACACGGCGAAGUUUCCCUGCGGCAAUUGCAACAGCGUGUUUAGCAUGAAGCACAACCUGCAAUAUCACCUGAGGGUCGAGUGCGGCCAAUCGCCGAGGUUCAAUUGCCCGUAUUGCUUGUACAGGACGCGGCACCCGUCGAAUGUGCGCGCCCACGUGCGCCGUAUACAUCCCGGUAACGCGGUCUACGUGGUGGACAUUUGCAAGAAUGAAGUCCCGCAGUUCUCUUGAGCGGUCCUACGCCCCACGCACUCUCUCACUCGUUAUGUUUGUGUUUGACGAAAUAUAGAUAUAUUUGUGUACAUUGCGAGCUGAAACGCGAGAUACCACGAGUGUGCAUGUUACUUACUUUACUUACCACCGUUACGUCUCUGGAGUGUUUCGGAUCGUGCAGUCACUUGCGUUUCUGUUCUCCUUUCUUUGUUAUUUUCUGGACGCAUCGUCUUGGCAGCGCGGAUGAGUACCUAUGGCUUCUCCUUGCGUAUGUCGUGGUCGAUUGUGUUCGUCUCGGCUGUUUGAGGCCACGAAGUUUGAGUGAGGGAAAUUUCGUUGUCGUCUCGUCUGUGGGAGAGCUUAUUGGGUAUGGAAGCUUGUGAUCUGAUUCGGAAGUUCGAAGUGCUGAGGACACUUGUGCGUGAACGGAAGAAAAUCAUACUUUACGUAUCGUUACAUACAUAAAUCAUCAGGAUUUAAUCGAUCGGUUUCAUUGAUACGCGACCUUGAUGCGAAGAAAAUGAACAUCUUCGUUCGUUCAAACGAGAUGUAGAUUAAAAGCUUAAGCAAAUUUUGGUAGAACCGAGUUACUAAGGGAAACACGUCUAUUGAUAAGAUGAAGAGGGUAAAUCUUCGAGACGUUGCAAGACAAUUUUAUAAUUCGACGAAAUAUGUAUCGCUGUGAGAACUCUAAAUUUUACCUACUAAAAUUGGUAUCUUUUUAUGUUUUUUAUGUAAACGUGACUAAAAUGCUAUUACAUUAAUAAAUAUUCGUAUUUCA
This is a long non-coding RNA of Dinoponera quadriceps, 2969 nucleotides long. RefSeq lists it as uncharacterized. The record is from RefSeq and is a predicted model, not a curated record. Lineage: Eukaryota; Metazoa; Arthropoda; Insecta; Hymenoptera; Formicidae. The transcript is spliced from 2 exons.